Molecule: long non-coding RNA, 420 nt
Organism: Centruroides sculpturatus (bark scorpion)
Lineage: Eukaryota; Metazoa; Arthropoda; Arachnida; Scorpiones; Buthidae
Exons: 3
Source: RefSeq, a predicted model, not a curated record
UUUGCUGUCUUUGUCCUUUGAGAAGAUCGGCCAUUUGUGUGUCGCACGUCGUUGUGUUCCCGCGUGGCGAUUUUUAAUCCAAGAUCAUCCAUUUGAUUUUAGAUAGUUAAGGCAUACAAAUUAAUUUAAAUAAGUGGUAGACAAGUUUUAAGUAAUUUGAAAAGCUUAUAAUGAGAGCAAAGUGGAGAAAGAAGAGAAUGAGGAGGUUAAAGAGGAAGCGAAGGAAGAUGAGGGAAAGGUCUAAGUAGGAAGGAAAAAAGGGUACAGUUAUUUGAAGAUCCAAGAAGUCUGUACUGGCUUUCCCCUUAAGAUGCAAUUGGAUGUAUGAACUGUACCAAAAUUUCUUAGUUAUUCUAAGAAAUGUUUCUCAUUGUAAUAAGUUUAUUUCAUACUUUCAAUAAAGUAUUGAAUUUACAGAUA